RNAcentral lists this ribosomal RNA (398 nucleotides) under uncultured bacterium. RNAcentral describes it as "bacterial SSU rRNA". It matches the Rfam family "Bacterial small subunit ribosomal RNA", at positions 361 to 776 of the family's 1533-position model. The record is from RNAcentral.
AUAUUGCACAAUGGGCGAAAGCCUGAUGCAGCAACGCCGCGUGAGGGACGACGGCCUUCGGGUUGUAAAGCUCUUUUACCCGGGAUGAUAAUGACAGUACCGGGAGAAUAAGCCCCGGCUAACUCCGUGCCAGCAGCCGCGGUAAUACGGAGGGGGCUAGCGUUGUUCGGAAUUACUGGGCGUAAAGCGCACGUAGGCGGCUUUGCAAGUUAGAGGUGAAAGCCCGGGGCUCAACUCCGGAAUUGCCUUUAAAACUGCAUCGCUAGAAUUGUGGAGAGGUAAGUGGAAUUCCGAGUGUAGAGGUGAAAUUCGUAGAUAUUCGGAAGAACACCAGUGGCGAAGGCGACUUACUGGACACAUAUUGACGCUGAGGUGCGAAAGCGUGGGGAGCAAACAGG